Rosa chinensis is the source of this 500-nucleotide long non-coding RNA. RefSeq lists it as uncharacterized. The record is from RefSeq and is a predicted model, not a curated record. The transcript is spliced from 3 exons. Lineage: Eukaryota; Viridiplantae; Streptophyta; Magnoliopsida; Rosales; Rosaceae.
ACAAGAUUACACCAAGUACAAAGUGGGAGCAUGUAAAGGAAGUUCUUGGGGACUGUGGUCGAGCUGCCAUCCACACACAAGGUUCUACAAGCAAUCCGUUUGGAUUUACUUUUGUAUAUGGUUAACAAAACAUUGCACUUGAGUGAGUUUCUUUCAGUCAUGAUGGUGAUAAAAUGGUUGAAUUGAAGGCAUCCAGAAAAGCUGUUGCUGCCACUACUUCUACCUGCACCAAAGUUGUUGUUGCCACAAAUUCUAAGUCCACCAAAGCUGCUGCCACUGCCACAUCUACCUCAACAACCACAAGGCCUCCUACAUCCGGUAAAGUAUCAAAGGACCAAGCUCCAACACCUUCCAGAUCAUCUCAGAGGAUUAGACAGAAUUCAAAACAAGGGGGAAAGUAAGAGGAACUUUGAGGAAUGAUAAGCAAGCCUAACAUUUUUCAUUUUUUUUGUGCAACCUUGGUGUGUGCUACCUAGGUUGCUGGCUCUAAUUUUUUGGGA